This 268-nucleotide ribosomal RNA is filed under the name uncultured bacterium. RNAcentral's name for it is "partial 16S ribosomal RNA". It matches the Rfam family "Bacterial small subunit ribosomal RNA", at positions 793 to 1055 of the family's 1533-position model. The record is from RNAcentral.
GUCCACGCCCUAAACGAUGUCAACUAGGUGUUGGGUGGGUAAAACCAUUUAGUACCGGAGCUAACGCGUGAAGUUGACCGCCUGGGGAGUACGGCCGCAAGGUUAAAAACUCAAAAGGAAUUGACGGGGACCCGCACAAGCGGUGGAUGAUGUGGAUUAAUUCGAUGCAACGCGAAAAACCUUACCUACCCUUGACAUGUCCAGAAGCCCUUAGAGAUUUGGGUGUGCCCGAAAGGGAGCUGGAACACAGGUGCUGCAUGGCUGUCGU